This is a long non-coding RNA of Mya arenaria, 341 nucleotides long. RefSeq lists it as uncharacterized. The transcript is spliced from 3 exons. Lineage: Eukaryota; Metazoa; Mollusca; Bivalvia; Myida; Myidae. The record is from RefSeq and is a predicted model, not a curated record.
UGCAGGAGAUCACAACAGACAUUACCGGUUCCUUAAUAGCCCACCUGGAGCUCCUGAAUGUAUAAAUGCAGUUUACAUCGACAGCUUGAAAGCAAGGAAUCGCUUCUUGGUUGUUCAAAGUCCCAUGAAAGAAACUGUGAUCGACUUUUUGACACUGUUGUCCCAGGAACAUUGUACAUGUGUCGUAAGCUUUGAACCUUCCACAGACAAACAAAAGAAACAAAAUGUCGGAUUGUAUUAUCCUGCUGGAAACCACGUUUUAAAACAGGGCAUGUUUCAAGUCAGCUGUACCAAACAAGAAAACUACGGCUAUUGCACAAAAAGACUGCUAACGAUCAAAC